This 617-nucleotide long non-coding RNA is filed under the name Arachis ipaensis. RNAcentral's name for it is "long non-coding RNA (AIPA_LNC002183)". The record is from RNAcentral. Lineage: Eukaryota; Viridiplantae; Streptophyta; Magnoliopsida; Fabales; Fabaceae.
AUCACUUUCAUUUUUUCAAAAUACCAAAACUACCCUUGACAUUUUGUCCCAAAAUCAAAGAACCCUAGCUUCUCUGAAGUCAGUGGUGUUUCUCCUCCGCCGUCCAUCUGCGUCGUCAUCGUUGUCCUUGGCGGCGUAAGCGUCCGUCGUGGUCCGUCGUCCUUGGUCUGUGCUGCACUAUUCUGCGCUGUCCGUGCAUCUGCUGUGCUCUGCUCCGCGUUGUUUGUCCGUGGCUUCCGUUGCGCUCUCUCGCCGUGCCUCACCGGGCGACGUCACCGCGCCACGCCUCGCCUAGUGUUUGUUCCAAGAUCUCUAGGCAGGCCCGUUCAGUUUUUGGUUUUGCUGUUUUUGCUUUGAUUGAACUUCUGAACUUCUAAAUUAUAUUUGGAUGUUAUGGGCAUGCUUUUUAGUAAAAAAGGGUUCAUGUCAAUCUUUCAAAACGCUUCUGUAGGCAUUAGUUUUAGACGCAGUUGAUGGUUUGGAUUUAAAAUUUUAGGUUCAAAUUCAGAUUAUUUGUUGAUGUCAUACCUUUAAAUUAUUAUUCUUCUUUUUUAUCUAUGUAUCAAUGCAUGAUUCAUGUGUUUCUAUUUAUUUAUUUUUACCAAGAAAAUUUGCAG